GGAUGUGGGGGCGAUGUGGCUGUGACAUUUCUCACCCCACUGAUCUCCAGAGUUGACUCAGCUGAUCUGGCUGGCUAGGCGGGCGGCCCCCUUCUCCUCCUGUGCAGCCCUCAGGAAGCCGUAGGCUCAAGGAUCCACCACCCUCAGUGGAUCUCCUCAUAUUAUCUCAAGUACUUCUGAUAUAUUUGUUUUCAUUAUGUGAGGAAAUAAUUCUUUUU
Molecule: small RNA, 218 nt
Filed under: Cavia aperea (Brazilian guinea pig)
Lineage: Eukaryota; Metazoa; Chordata; Mammalia; Rodentia; Caviidae
Description: 7SK RNA (ENSCAPG00000005174.1)
Rfam family: 7SK RNA (bases 7-100)
Source: RNAcentral